UACGUAGGGUGCGAGCGUUAAUCGGAAUUACUGGGCGUAAAGCGUGCGCAGGCGGUUUUGUAAGACAGACGUGAAAUCCCCGGGCUUAACCUGGGAACUGCGUUUGUGACUGCAAGGCUAGAGUAUGGCAGAGGGGGGUAGAAUUCCACGUGUAGCAGUGAAAUGCGUAGAGAUGUGGAGGAAUACCGAUGGCGAAGGCAGCCCCCUGGGUCAAUACUGACGCUCAUGCACGAAAGCGUGGGGAGCAAACAGGAUUAGAUACCCUGGUAGUCCACGCCCUAAACGAUGUCAACUAGGUGUUGGGGGAGGAGACUUCCUUAGUACCGCAGCUAACGCGUGAAGUUGACCGCCUGGGGAGUACGGCCGCAAGGUUGAAACUCA
Molecule: ribosomal RNA, 381 nt
Filed under: uncultured bacterium
Lineage: Bacteria
Description: bacterial SSU rRNA
Rfam family: Bacterial small subunit ribosomal RNA
Source: RNAcentral